AGUCAUUAUCGUUCAGAGAUGACUAGAAUGAGGGAGAACUGUAAAAUGAGACUUGAUGACUUGAAAAUGAGAAGCUAAAAACUUAAUUUCUAUCAUUUUCAGUAUUUUCUAUUUAACAAAUUUCUAUUAUGGAUUUGGACUGGAUUGAAAAGAAAUAAAUUGACUACUAUUUUGAACCCAGAGAAGACAACUGGAACAUACAACCUAUGGAUUUUGGAGGGUCAAACUUGCUGCAAAUUUGCUCAAGAACACCCUGUGGAGGAACACACUCUCUUGACGCAAGAGGCUGUGGCUGAUAAGCUGUCAUCUAGUCAAGCUCAGAUUUCCGUCCAAUGUAAGGAAAACUCUGAGGGUCAAGACGGAACAGUGCUGUUUGACACGGAAGCCUUUCCCAUGGCCAACAUCCACUGUCCUAGCAGUGUAGAAGAUCUUCCUGAAGGUCAAUGUAAACAGCAGUAGAUCUCUGCAGAUCUCCUCAUCAGUUAUUCGGGGAUAUUUCGAACAUAAAAUCAUCUUAACAAGAUUCUUUCUUUGUUUUCUGAAUAAUUUGGUCAUGAAAAUGUAAAAUGUUGAAUUAUUAAAAGUUAAAAAGAGCAGUUGGUUAUUUUUGUAAACCUGCGGUUUUGGUCUGUUGUCACGACUAGAACUCAUAUAAGACCACACACACAAACACACAGCAGUAUUGCUAGGCUUCCAGCGAGCGCCAUCAAACCUUCACAGAAGCACAC
Molecule: long non-coding RNA, 728 nt
Filed under: Sinocyclocheilus anshuiensis
Lineage: Eukaryota; Metazoa; Chordata; Actinopteri; Cypriniformes; Cyprinidae
Description: lncRNA (ENSSANG00000010755.1)
Source: RNAcentral